Molecule: ribosomal RNA, 507 nt
Filed under: uncultured bacterium
Lineage: Bacteria
Description: bacterial SSU rRNA
Rfam family: Bacterial small subunit ribosomal RNA
Source: RNAcentral
AACGAACGCUGGCGGCGUGGAUAAGACAUGCAAGUCGAACGCUAUAUUCGGUGUAGCAAUACAUCGAGUGUGGAGUGGCGCAAGGGUGCGUAACACGUGGGUAAUUUGCCAUGAAGUUGGGGAUAACUCGCUGAAAGGCGAGCUAAUACCGGAUGUGAAGUUUGGGUGGCAUCACCUGAUCUUUAAAGCUGGGGAUCGCAAGACCUGGCGCUUCAUGAUAAGCCCGCGGCCUAUCAGCUAGUUGGUGAGGUAACGGCUCACCAAGGCUAAGACGGGUAGCUGGUCUGAGAGGACGACCAGCCACACUGGAACUGAGACACGGUCCAGACACCUACGGGUGGCAGCAGUCGAGAAUUUUUCUCAAUGGGCGCAAGCCUGAAGGAGCGACGCCGCGUGGGGGAUGAAGGGUUUCGAUCCGUAAACCCCUGUCAUUUGUGAACAAUGGUUAUUAUUUAAAAGAUGGUAACUUGAUAGUAAUGAAAGAGGAAGGGACGGCUAACUCUGUGC